Bubalus bubalis (water buffalo) is the source of this 365-nucleotide long non-coding RNA. RefSeq lists it as uncharacterized. The transcript is spliced from 2 exons. The record is from RefSeq and is a predicted model, not a curated record. Lineage: Eukaryota; Metazoa; Chordata; Mammalia; Artiodactyla; Bovidae.
AUCUUCCUCACCCAGGCAUUGAACCUGAGUCUCUUGCAUUGGCAGGCAGAUGCUUUACCACUGAGCCACCUGGGAAGCCCAUGUAGAUAAUAGAAGAUCUCUAUUUACAAAUGAGGAGAUAGCCUAAGAUGCCUCGAUUGCCUCAAAUAUAUAUUCAGUUGAGGAUCUUAGAUCCCUGGUCAGAGAUUAAACCCAGGCCACAGCCGUGAAACCUCCGAGUCGUAACCACUGGACCACCAGAGGAUUUCCAGAAGAACAAUAUUUGGACUAGAUCUCCCAUGAUAUUUGUAUUGGGUUGGCCAAAAAGUUCAUUGUUCAUUUGUGUUUUCCCAUAAGAUGUUAUAAAUAAAUUGUAUUGAAUUCUC